This 199-nucleotide small RNA is filed under the name Paenibacillus sp. Its description in RNAcentral is "c-di-AMP sequence". It matches the Rfam family "c-di-AMP riboswitch aptamer (ydaO/yuaA leader)". Rfam says of the family: This family represents a conserved RNA structure found upstream of the ydaO and yuaA genes in Bacillus subtilis and related genes in other bacteria. The ydaO/yuaA element is thought to act as a genetic "off" switch for the ydaO and yuaA genes in its native state. RNAcentral also lists the same sequence under 1 other name. Lineage: Bacteria; Bacillati; Bacillota; Bacilli; Caryophanales; Paenibacillaceae. The record is from RNAcentral.
AUAUUGUUUUCGCUUAAUCUUCCGGCAGGAAGAGCGGGGGAACCAACAGCGGGACGAUCGGCAUCGAUUGUCAUCGCGUACCAAACUAUUUUGGGGUGAAUUGAACGGCCCGAAGUCCGCGGAUGAAGGCGCCGUUGAUAGGGCGACUCUCUUGCCCGAACCCGACAGCUAACCUCGCAAGCGUUCCAAGAGAGAUCAA